RNAcentral lists this unclassified non-coding RNA (773 nucleotides) under Hevea brasiliensis (rubber tree). The record is from RNAcentral. Lineage: Eukaryota; Viridiplantae; Streptophyta; Magnoliopsida; Malpighiales; Euphorbiaceae.
GCUUUUGCCACCUUCGUUGCGUCCCCCCCGCCUUCCUCUUUCUCCAUUUCUCUUCAAAUCCUUCUCUCUCUAAACCACGGAAGCUUGACUUCUCUGCUUCUCUCCACUUGUUUCCUUCUCUCUUUCUCUCCUUUUUCCUCCUUCAAACCCUCCUUUCUGCGGAGGAGCUCGCCAUUUCAGAUCUUUAGAGUUGUAAGGAGGAAUAUCAGAGAGAAUGAACAGGUGGGUUUACGAGCAGAACGCCAUGGCUGCCUACCAAGACAUGAGGAUGGAAUCUGUGGUUUGUCCAAAGCCACGUCGUUUGGUUCUUCAAACCCCUCCUGAUAAUGACCCCAUCAGAGCCUAUAGAUGGCCCAUCAGCCACUCCAAGACAGGAAAUUCAAGAGCAGGAGCUGAGUUUCUUGAUAUGAUCCUCACCAAGGAAAGUUAUGGCGAAAAUUUUAGCCACCAAUUAGCAACAUCUCCACCAUUCUUUUGGGGGUCUCCACCAAGUAGAGCUUCCAACCCUUUAGUCCAAGAUGAGCAAUUUGGCAAUGGCAACAAUAUCUACCAACUUUGUGAAGGGCCACCAUCUCCAUCAACCCGUAAAGGAGGAUGCACCCGAACGAAAUUCGGGCAUCGACCUGCAGCAGUCCGAAUCGAAGGAUUCGACUGUCUCAACCACGAUGCUCGAAAUUGCAGCAUUUCUGCUGUGGCUUAGAGAGCAUAUAUAUAACCAAAGGGGGAGGAGGUAGCCUUAAGUUUUUUGAAGUGGGAGGAGAUUUGAGACAGAG